GGGAAAGUCAUGACAUAUUUUUCUAUGCAAUAGUGUGUCAUGACUUUUCUGAUGA
This 55-nucleotide microRNA precursor is filed under the name Tupaia belangeri chinensis (Chinese tree shrew). RNAcentral describes it as "Tupaia chinensis (Chinese tree shrew) microRNA tch-mir-9771l precursor". The record is from miRBase by way of RNAcentral. Lineage: Eukaryota; Metazoa; Chordata; Mammalia; Scandentia; Tupaiidae.